AGUGAACGCUGGCGGUAGGCCUAACACAUGCAAGUCGAACGGCAGCACAGUAAGAGCUUGCUCUUACGGGUGGCGAGUGGCGGACGGGUGAGGAAUACAUCGGAAUCUACUUUUUCGUGGGGGAUAACGUAGGGAAACUUACGCUAAUACCGCAUACGACCUACGGGUGAAAGCAGGGGAUCUUCGGACCUUGCGCUAUUGAAUGAGCCUAUGUCGGAUUAGCUAGAUGGCGGGGUAAAGGCACACCAAGGCCACGAUCCGUAGCUGGUCUGACAGGAUGGUCAGCCACACUGGAACUGAGAAACGGCCCAGACUCUGACGGGAGGCAGCAGUGGGGAAUAUUGGACGAUGGGCGCAAGCCUGAUACAGCCAUACCGCGUGGGUGAAGAAGGCCUUCGGGUUGUAAAGCCCUUUUGUCGGGAGAGAAAAGCAGCAGGUUAAUACGCCGCUGUUAUGACGGUACCCAAAGAAUAAGCACCGGCUAACUUCGUG
This 492-nucleotide ribosomal RNA is filed under the name uncultured bacterium. RNAcentral's name for it is "partial 16S ribosomal RNA". It matches the Rfam family "Bacterial small subunit ribosomal RNA", at positions 29 to 507 of the family's 1533-position model. The record is from RNAcentral.